GAUGAACGCCGGCGGCGUGCUUAACACAUGCAAGUCGAACGGAAAGGCCAGUGCUUGCACUGGUACUCGAGUGGCGAACGGGUGAGUAACACGUGGGUGAUCUGCCCUGCACUUCGGGAUAAGCCUGGGAAACUGGGUCUAAUACCGGAUAGGACAAUGGUUUGGAUGCCGUUGUGGACAGUUUUUUCGGUGUGGGAUGAGCUCGCGGCCUAUCAGCUUGUUGGUGGGGUAAUGGCCUACCAAGGCGUCGACGGGUAGCCGGCCUGAGAGGGUGUAGGGCCACAUUGGGACUGGAAGACGGGCCAGAGUCGGGAGGGAGGCAGCAGUGGGGAAUAUUGCACAAUGGGAGCAAGCCUGAGGCAGCGAGGCCGCGUGGGGGAUGGCGGCCUUCGUGUUGUAAACUCCUAUCGCUAGGGAAGAAGCGUAUUUGUGACGGUACCUGGAGAAGAAGCACCGGCUAACUACGUG
Molecule: ribosomal RNA, 468 nt
Filed under: uncultured bacterium
Lineage: Bacteria
Description: partial 16S ribosomal RNA
Rfam family: Bacterial small subunit ribosomal RNA
Source: RNAcentral